GGGAUUUGUGUCAGGGUUCGAGGUAAAGACAUCUGAUUUAGAGACAGCUUUCAGAUAAGGUUGCUUCAGUCAUGGUGUUUCAUCAGAGCAUGGACAGCUGUUUGAACAUGCAGUUUGGUGAAGAAAGGAAUGUGGACGCUUAGAAGUUGAGGACAAGACAGAUGGUGGAGGAAGCCUUGGAUUCCCUUACUAAGACAACAGAGGUCCUGGGAGACGGCUCAGAGGGUAGAAGAGCCUGCCAUCUGAGUUCAACUCCCAAAUCCCACAGUGGAAGGAGAGACCCAACUCGUGGAAGUUGUCCUCUCAUCUCCACAAGUGAGUCACACACAACAAACACUCACCCCCCUUUUUCUCUCAUUGUCCUUUCCAUCAAACCUUCACCUACAUUUAUUUAUUUAUCUAAUCUCUCUGGGCUUAUAAGAGUUGCCUUGAUCAUGGUGUCUCUUCACAAUAAUACAUAAAUAAAUCUUUUUUAUAGAUUU
Molecule: long non-coding RNA, 482 nt
Organism: Mesocricetus auratus (golden hamster)
Lineage: Eukaryota; Metazoa; Chordata; Mammalia; Rodentia; Cricetidae
Exons: 3
Source: RefSeq, a predicted model, not a curated record